CCAUGCCGGUUAGGUAUGGCUAGAGUGAGCACGCGUUGAGUAUCUCAGCCUUUCAGUUCUGCCUGUAUUCUACCCUUGUUUGUCAUAUACUAUUAUUUCCUCGGCAGGCUUGCCUGCCGAGUGAAACCAUUUAUAACCUUUUUAAUUUUCAAUCAGCGUCUGAAAAAUUUAAUAAUUACAACUUUCAACAACGGAUCUCUUGGUUCUGGCAUCGAUGAAGAACGCAGCGAAAUGCGAUAAGUAGUGUGAAUUGCAGAAUUCAGUGAAUCAUCGAAUCUUUGAACGCACAUUGCGCCCCUUGGUAUUCCAUGGGGCAUGCCUGUUCGAGCGUCAUUUGUACCUUCAAGCUUUGCUUGGUGUUGGGUGUUUGUCCCGAGGGACUCGCCUUAAAGUAAUUGGCAGCCAGUGUUUGGUUUUGAAGCGCAGCACAAGUCGCGAUUCAAGGCUACACGCCCGCUUCCACAAGCCUUUUUUCACUUUUGACCUCGGAUCAGGUAGGGAUACCCGCUGAACUUAAGCAUAUCAAAAAGCGGAGGA
RNAcentral lists this ribosomal RNA (537 nucleotides) under Phoma sp. 207. RNAcentral's name for it is "eukaryotic LSU rRNA". The stretch from base 180 to 333 matches the Rfam family "5.8S ribosomal RNA". Lineage: Eukaryota; Fungi; Ascomycota; Dothideomycetes; Pleosporales; Didymellaceae. The record is from RNAcentral.